Molecule: ribosomal RNA, 857 nt
Filed under: uncultured bacterium
Lineage: Bacteria
Description: SSU rRNA
Rfam family: Bacterial small subunit ribosomal RNA
Source: RNAcentral
UACGGGAGUGGCAAGCGUUAUCCGGAAUUAUUGGGCGUAAAGCGUCCGCAGGCGGUCUUUUAAGUCUGCUGUUAAAGCGUGGAGCUUAACUCCAUUUCGGCAGUGGAAACUGGAAGACUAGAGUGUGGUAGGGGCAGAGGGAAUUCCCGGUGUAGCGGUGAAAUGCGUAGAUAUCGGGAAGAACACCAGUGGCGAAGGCGCUCUGCUGGGCCAUAACUGACGCUCAUGGACGAAAGCCAGGGGAGCGAAAGGGAUUAGAUACCCCUGUAGUCCUGGCCGUAAACGAUGAACACUAGGUGUCGGGGGAAUCGACCCCCUCGGUGUCGCAGCCAACGCGUUAAGUGUUCCGCCUGGGGAGUACGCACGCAAGUGUGAAACUCAAAGGAAUUGACGGGGGCCCGCACAAGCGGUGGAGUAUGUGGUUUAAUUCGAUGCAACGCGAAGAACCUUACCAGGGUUUGACAUCCUGCGAAUCCCUUGGAAACGAGGGAGUGCCUUCGGGAACGCAGUGACAGGUGGUGCAUGGCUGUCGUCAGCUCGUGUCGUGAGAUGUUGGGUUAAGUCCCGCAACGAGCGCAACCCACGUCGUUAGUUGCCAGCAUUCAGUUGGGCACUCUAGCGAGACCGCCGGUGAUAAACCGGAGGAAGGUGUGGAUGACGUCAAGUCAUCAUGCCCCUUACAUCCUGGGCUACACACGUACUACAAUGCUACGGACAAAGGGCAGCAAACUCGCGAGGGCUAGCAAAUCCCAUAAACCGUGGCUCAGUUCAGAUCGUAGGCUGCAACUCGCCUACGUGAAGGAGGAAUCGCUAGUAAUCGCAGGUCAGCAUACUGCGGUGAAUACGUUCCCGGGCCU